Molecule: ribosomal RNA, 497 nt
Filed under: uncultured bacterium
Lineage: Bacteria
Description: partial 16S ribosomal RNA
Rfam family: Bacterial small subunit ribosomal RNA
Source: RNAcentral
GAUGAACGCUGGCGGCGUGCCUAAUACAUGCAAGUCGAGCGAACAGACGAGGAGCUUGCUCCUCUGACGUUAGCGGCGGACGGGUGAGUAACACGUGGAUAACCUACCUAUAAGACUGGGAUAACUUCGGGAAACCGGAGCUAAUACCGGAUAACAUGUUGAACCGCAUGGUUCAACAGUGAAAGACGGUCUUGCUGUCACUUAUAGAUGGAUCCGCGCCGCAUUAGCUAGUUGGUAAGGUAACGGCUUACCAAGGCAACGAUGCGUAGCCGACCUGAGAGGGUGAUCGGCCACACUGGAACUGAGACACGGUCCAGACUCCUACGGGAGGCAGCAGUAGGGAAUCUUCCGCAAUGGGCGAAAGCCUGACGGAGCAACGCCGCGUGAGUGGUGAAGGUCUUCGGAUCGUAAAACUCUGUUAUUAGGGAAGAACAAAUGUGUAAGUAACUAUGCACGUCUUGACGGUACCUAAUCAGAAAGCCACGGCUAACUACGUG